UACGAAGGGAGCUAGCGUUGUUCGGAUUUACUGGGCGUAAAGCGCGUGUAGGUGGCUAUUUAAGUCAGGGGUGAAAUGCCGAAGCUUAACUUCGGAACUGCCUUUGAUACUGGAUAGCUAGAGUUAUGGAGGGGAGAGUGGAAUUGCUUGUGUAGAGGUGAAAUUCGUAGAUAUAAGCAGGAACACCAGUGGCGAAGGCGACUCUCUGGACAUAUACUGACACUCAGACGCGAAAGCGUGGGGAGCAAACAGG
RNAcentral lists this ribosomal RNA (253 nucleotides) under uncultured bacterium. Its description in RNAcentral is "partial 16S ribosomal RNA". It matches the Rfam family "Bacterial small subunit ribosomal RNA", at positions 524 to 776 of the family's 1533-position model. The record is from RNAcentral.